RNAcentral lists this ribosomal RNA (497 nucleotides) under uncultured bacterium. Its description in RNAcentral is "partial 16S ribosomal RNA". It matches the Rfam family "Bacterial small subunit ribosomal RNA", at positions 28 to 507 of the family's 1533-position model. The record is from RNAcentral.
GAUGAACGCUGGCGGCGUGCCUAAUACAUGCAAGUCGAGCGAACAGAUAAGGAGCUUGCUCCUUUGACGUUAGCGGCGGACGGGUGAGUUACACGUGGAUAACCUACCUAUAAGACUGGGAUAACUUCGGGAAACCGGAGCUAAUACCGGAUAACAUAUUGAACCGCAUGGUUCAAUAGUGAAAGGCGGCUUUGCUGUCUCUUAUAGAUGGAUCCGCGCCGUAUUAGCUAGUUGGUAAGGUAACGGCUUACCAAGGCAACGAUACGUAGCCGACCUGAGAGGGUGAUCGGCCACACUGGAACUGAGACACGGUCCAGACUCCUACGGGAGGCAGCAGUAGGGAAUCUUCCGCAAUGGGCGAAAGCCUGACGGAGCAACGCCGCGUGAGUGAUGAAGGUCUUCGGAUCGUAAAACUCUGUUAUCAGGGAAGAACAAAUGUGUAAGUAACUGUGCACAUCUUGACGGUACCUGAUCAGAAAGCCACGGCUAACUACGUG